Non-coding RNA from Acanthosepion pharaonis, 101 nucleotides. Lineage: Eukaryota; Metazoa; Mollusca; Cephalopoda; Sepiida; Sepiidae. The record is from the annotation of a GenBank genome assembly.
UUACGGCCAUAUCACGUUGAAAUACCGGUUCUCAUACGAUCAGCGAAAUUAAACAAAGUUGAGCAUAGUUACUACCUAGAUGGGUGACCACUUAGAAAUAC